UGGCUAAAGACAGUGGGCUCAAAUGGCCCAGAUACAAAAUUAACCCUAGCCUAGCCCACGAACUCAACAUCUUUCAACUAGGGGAAAACCCUAAGGCGUCGCACGUUCUGUCGGCCUCCCUUGCGCAUGCUACCACCACGCGUCUAACACCUCUAUCACCUGCAACACAACUGCAAGAAAACAACAAAACAGAAACGACAAACGUACAAUCCAAAGCACAAAACGACAAAAGAAGAGAGAUUUAGUCUUUUUAAAUCGGCUAUAAAAGGCCGAAUAGGGCGAUUGUAUUUGUUUCUUUUGGAUUUUUUGACGAAAACAUCAGAAAUCAAAAAUAAAAAGGUUGUUGUUCUUGUUCUUCGUUUUCUUCUUUGUCGAUUCAUUUGUUUAUUUUUUUUUACGAAUCAUUUUUUUAAAAAACUAUUAAUAAAUAAAGGGUAAAAAGGGGAAAAAGGGGAUUACCGGAGAUACCUCGCGACCGCGCCGUCGGUGGGUGGUUCUCCGUCGUUGGCCCGGAUCCGAAAGGGGGAUUAUGAGCCCCUGUCUCGGCGCUCAUAAGGGUUCAAAGACUCGACUUUUCAAAUUGCCCGAAAGUCGGGCUUUAAAAGCCCUUUGUCGUGCUUCGUCGGCCGUCGGUUUAGUGGCGGUGUGGGGGAUGAACGAGCGGAGGUGAGAAGCCCGACCGUCGGAAGAAAUGGGGGGCCUUCAAAGAGCCUCCCAGUUUUUUUUC
Molecule: long non-coding RNA, 727 nt
Filed under: Gossypium barbadense (sea-island cotton)
Lineage: Eukaryota; Viridiplantae; Streptophyta; Magnoliopsida; Malvales; Malvaceae
Description: long non-coding RNA (GBAR_LNC017909)
Source: RNAcentral